CAAUGGUGAGGAGUCCUCAUCAAAAUCAAAAAAUCUAAUUUCUUUUACAGGACCCAGAUGCUAUACAGUGGGAAAACAAGCCUGGCAACAUAGUGCGUAUUAAUAAAAGGACACCACAUCCUGCCAAAUUCCAGCUGCGCUAAUUGUAUUGUGUUCACAGAGCUCACAAGCUAUCAGAAAGUUGUAUGGCAACCACCUCCGGCGCCAAAUAGAACUGGCAGACAUAGACAUUCAGUACAAGAAGAAAAAGAUGGAAAAUCUUGCACUGGAGUCCGAAAUAAAAAAGAGGACAAUUAGGAAACUGGACCUUGAAAUAAAAAAACUUGAGAGGGAGCUCCAAGAAGAUGACACAGCUCAAAAUAAAAAUUAGGUAUAUUCUCGUAAAGUCAAGUGAGCCAUGACAUAUGAGCUCUUAUUGUGAGCACACAGGACGGUGGCAUCUUUCUAAGGUUUUUUUUAUUUUCCCAGCAAUCAGUACAACCAAGUCAUCGUUAUAAGGCAUCGCCCUCUUUUGCCCACCCCCCCAGCACCAGGUGUGGCCACUAGCCUAUAUGAAGGCCCAAAAUUGUGUGUUCCUUUCUGCUCUGACAAUGGCAUGCCCAUUCGUGCGAGAUGUGGUGGAUGAAGAAGCACUUGUGCUGAGGAGAGCCUUCAGGCGAGAAAGGGUCUUCAGGGACCGGUUGGACCCACUGGCCUUCCCUGAUGACCAUCUAUAUGAAAGAUACCUGAUGCCAUCUGCAGAAUACUGGGUCCCAGGAUUAAGCACCGCACUGCACGGAGCCAUGCACUGAGUGUGGAGCAAAUGGUUUGUGUGGCCUUGCGCUUUUUUGCUAGUGGAGCCUUCCUGUACUCAGUGGGGGAUGCUGAACAAGGCCACAAUUUGCCGCACAAUAAGGAGUGUGUGUCUGGCUAUCAAAGCAUUAGCAGAUGUCUUCAUCUCCUUCCCUGGCCACAGAAGACUCUGUGACAUCAAAGAGGAGUUCUAUAGGAUUGCAGAUGGUCUGCAAUGCUGACUGUGUGAUCAGCAAUGUUGUGGCAAAAUGGCCUGGCUCAGUCCAUGACUCCAGAAUCUUUCGGGCCUCUGAAAUCUAUCAGUGCCUAUCACAAGGUGAAUUCUCUGGUGUGUUGCUGGGAGACAGGGGUAUGGCUGCCAGCCUUUUCUCCUGACACCUUUCACAGACCCCCAGGAAGCACAGCAGGCCUACAACCAUGCCCAUGCCAGGACCAGGGCCAGAGUUGAAAUGACCUUUGGCCUCCUGAAGGCACGCUUUCACUGCCUUCACAAAUUAAGGGUCAGCCCUGUUAGGGCAUGUGAUAUUACUGUGGCUUGUGCUGUCCUCCACAAUGUGGCCUGCCUGAGGAAGGAGAGGGCCCCCAGAGUGCCACCAGCCAUGGACUGGGACAAUCCGGCAAUCUUCCCUGAUGACGACAGUGGUCGGCUGCUGAGGGACCAAUAUGUGUUGAAUUAUUUUAGUUAGUAUGUGUGCUUUCAAUUUUGGUUAAAUAUGUCCUGCGGUGGCAGAGGAAUUUGGGUUUUUUGGGUUCGUUUUUUGACGAAUUUGGCCUCUUAUGAUGUUUGUGUGGUAUACUGUGUGUAAUACAAGGCUGCAGGGAGGCUACUGCAUCCAUUCAUUUGUCUGUUCAGUUGAUGUGUAUGGAUUUGUCCUGCAUUUAUUUUAGUGUGCAGACAUGCAGGGUGUGUUAUAUACAGACCUUUGAAUGUGUAUGUAUCAUUUUGUAUAAUAUGCUUGGAUUCUGUGCUUUCCAUCUUGUAGAGUCACUGUGACUUCAGUUUCGAAAGGAGCUGAUGGUUUACCUGCUUUGUUUUGUCCUUAUUCAAUAAAGGAACAUAAUGUUACACAUUGUGUUUUUAUAUUCAUAUGGAAUGUGUAUUUGUUUAUAUGACAGAGUACUAGGGCCACACUGAAGAAAAAGGAUAAAGUCAUACAUUUAUGAGGCUGGUUCUUUCUGCAGAAAAGCUACAUAUUGUUUUUACAGUUUUGAUACUUAUGACAAUGUGAUACUUAAUAUUCUGGCACAUCAGCAUGUCUUUGUUUAUGAAACCAUACUGAAGUACAAUUUCACGAAAUGCCCCACAUCUGUCAUUUUAACAACUGUCCUCCUUUAAAACAACUGGUUACAAUAUUAUGACUUGUGUUUU
Molecule: long non-coding RNA, 2161 nt
Organism: Oncorhynchus nerka (sockeye salmon)
Lineage: Eukaryota; Metazoa; Chordata; Actinopteri; Salmoniformes; Salmonidae
Exons: 4
Source: RefSeq, a predicted model, not a curated record